This 432-nucleotide ribosomal RNA is filed under the name uncultured bacterium. RNAcentral's name for it is "bacterial SSU rRNA". It matches the Rfam family "Bacterial small subunit ribosomal RNA", at positions 354 to 776 of the family's 1533-position model. The record is from RNAcentral.
GUAGGGAAUAUUGCGCAAUGGGCGAAAGCCUGACGCAGCGACGCCGCGUGUGGGAGGAAGCCUUUCGGGGUGUAAACCACUGUCAGGGGGGAAGAACGCCGCCGAUCCGAAUACGGUCGGCGAUUGACGGUACCCUCACAGGAAGCGCCGGCUAACUCCGUGCCAGCAGCCGCGGUAAGACGGAGGGCGCAAGCGUUGUUCGGAAUUACUGGGCGUAAAGCGCGGGCAGGUGGUCUGUUAAGUCGUUUGUGAAAAUCCGGGGCUCAACCCCGCGAAAUGCAAGCGAUACUGGCAGACUGGAGAUCGGUAGAGGCUAGCGGAAUUCCUGGUGUAGCGGUGGAAUGCGUAGAUAUCAGGAAGAACACCUGUGGCGAAGGCGGCUAGCUGGGCCGAGUCUGACACUCAUCCGCGAAAGCGUGGGGAGCAAACAGG